UUGUGCCAGUACCAUACUGUCUUGUUGACUGUAGCUUUGUAGUAUAGUCUGAAGUCAGACAGGUUGGGAAUACUGCCAUAGAUUUAAUGUGAGGUUUUUCAACUCAAGGAGGAAGAAAAGUUUUCAUUCAUUUGAAAUUCUUUGGUUACUUACUAGGCUGUGGCUAUUUCUUUUUCUUAUUUUUCUCUUUUUUUUCUUUUCUGUAUCUCUUCUUCCUCCCUAUUUUAUUUGGAUUUUUCUCAUCCAUCACGUCUCUUAACUACAUUUUGUUUAAACUACUAUAGAGAUUAUUUGUUUUCUACACUGACUUUACCAUUAGUUUGUGAUUAUAUUAAAGCAUAGUCCUUUUGCUGUUCUGGGUUUCCAGAGACUUAAUUUUGUAAUCUGCAAACAGAGUUGUAGGAAUAAAAAGAGAAAAACAAGAGUCGAUGAGAAACAACAUUGCUGGACUAGAGAAGAGUAUUGCUUUAGACCAUGUGUACAUACACUAUCAAGAUGAUGGCUGCAUUCCCAGUGUCAAAUACAAGAGUACCUGACACAUGGUAGGAGCUUGAUAUUGAAUAAUGAGUGAGUGAGUGAAUAAAUGAAGAUGUGUUGGAAAGAUUUGAGGUAGGAUCUUAUUCAAUGGAAAGAUUAGGAAUAAAGAGAUGAGGAAAUAAAUCACAAAGUUAUGAUAAUAGCUGUGUUCUUUAAUAUUUAAGCUGAUCAUAGAUCUUGGUUUCUAUAUAACAUCCUCCAAUAAAAUGAAGCAGGAAAUUUUUGGAGGAAAUACAAGAUGAGUUUGGAAUAUUAUGUAGUGCCAGAAAAUAAUGAAGUGUUGAGUGGCCGUAAGUGCAGACUGAACUUAGUGGCUCUCAUCUAAUAGACAAAAUAUGGAAAGCGAAAAAUAGUAACUGUAAUAACAGGAGAUACCUGACAGACACUCCCUUUACCUAGUGAUCAAGAUUAAUAUCACCAGUAGUAUAUGUUGACCUUAUAGACUCCCUGACAUGAUGCAAUGAGAAAUACAUCUCUCUUUGGGGAUAUUGUUCUAUGAGAUCUGUAAACUCUACCUAAUCAUGGGAAAAUAUCAGAUAACCUAAAUUGGGGGGCAGUGAGAGA
This 1101-nucleotide long non-coding RNA is filed under the name Capra hircus (goat). Its description in RNAcentral is "lncRNA (ENSCHIG00010028666.1)". The record is from RNAcentral. Lineage: Eukaryota; Metazoa; Chordata; Mammalia; Artiodactyla; Bovidae.